RNAcentral lists this ribosomal RNA (414 nucleotides) under uncultured microorganism. RNAcentral's name for it is "bacterial SSU rRNA". It matches the Rfam family "Archaeal small subunit ribosomal RNA", at positions 459 to 872 of the family's 1478-position model. The record is from RNAcentral.
CAGCAGCCGCGGUAAUACCGGCGGCCCGAGUGGCGGUCACUAUUAUUGGGCUUAAAGCGUCCGUAGCCGGGUUGGGAAGUCCCCCGGGAAAUCUGGCCGCUUAACGGUCAGAAUGCCGGAGGAUACUCCCAGCCUAGGGAGCGGGAGAGGCCGAGGGUAUUCCCGGAGUAGGGGUGAAAUCCUAUAAUCCCGGGAGGACCACCUGUGGCGAAGGCGCUCGGCUGGAACGCGGCCGACGGUGAGGGACGAAGGCCAGGGGAGCAAACCGGAUUAGAUACCCGGGUAGUCCUGGCUGUAAACGAUGCGGACUUUGUGUCGGACAAGCUAUGAGCUUGUCCGGUGCCGGAGGGAAACCGUUAAGUCCGCCGCCUGGGGAGUACGGCCGCAAGGCUGAAACUUAAAGGAAUUGGCGGG